UACGUAGGGGCGAGCGUUGUCCGGAAUGAUUGGGCGUAAAGGGCGCGUAGGCGGCUUGUUAAGUCUGGAGUGGAAGUCAUCUUUUCAAGGGUGGAAUUGCUUUGGAAACUGGCGGGCUUGAGUGCAGGAGAGGUUAUCGGAAUUCCCGGUGUAGCGGUGAAAUGCGUAGAGAUCGGGAGGAACACCAGUGGCGAAGGCGGGUAACUGGACUGCAACUGACGCUGAGGCGCGAAAGUGUGGGGAGCAAACAGGAUUAGAUACCCGUGUAGUCCCUGA
This 276-nucleotide ribosomal RNA is filed under the name uncultured prokaryote. Its description in RNAcentral is "partial 16S ribosomal RNA". It matches the Rfam family "Bacterial small subunit ribosomal RNA", at positions 524 to 800 of the family's 1533-position model. The record is from RNAcentral.